AGCUAACAAUUACACAACAUGACUGACCGUCCCUAGAUCAAGUAGCAAAGGGCUUGAUGGUUGGUAUUCAAGACCCAAGUUCGAAUUCUAGUUGAUUCACAUUUUCAACUAAAUUUAUUUUUAAAUAAAAUAAACGAAACGGGUAACGUACUAUCUAUCUCUCAAAAAAAUAAAUAAUUACACAACAUGAUCGAACAAAAUAAUUUCAUUUUUCUUUUUCUUGUUUCUUCUUACUUAAUUUCAGUGGAAUUUAAAAUGCA
This 260-nucleotide long non-coding RNA is filed under the name Ananas comosus (pineapple). RNAcentral's name for it is "long non-coding RNA (ACOM_LNC006233)". The record is from RNAcentral. Lineage: Eukaryota; Viridiplantae; Streptophyta; Magnoliopsida; Poales; Bromeliaceae.